GUAUUCGCGCUUAAAAUAACCUUCUCCACUCCUCCCUCUCGCUUCUCUCCAAACACCAUACAUGUUUCUUUGAAGAAGAGGGUUUUAUUUGCAGGCAGCAUCUUCCUCCCUUUUUUCUUCUAUCGACACCACCGUUUCCUCUUUUUUCAUUCUCCGGCGUUCAACAAUCCUCUGCGUUUCCCUCUUCCUUUGUUAGUUGUAGUAUGACGUUUGGUUCCGAUGUCAGUUUGGUUCACCAUCAUCAUUGAUCAAGAAAAAGAGUUCAGGUGUUUCUCCUUUGAUUUCUAUGUUGUCACGUAAUAGAAAGCACCCAUCAAGUGAAGAUGAUUGGUCAAGCAACGGAUUUUAGAGAUUGAAGUUUGAUUUUUGGGGGCAUAAGGUUAAAAUGCUUGAAUCUUAAUCAAAUGAGGAGGAUACUUCCAAGAGGACAUCAAUGCCUCAUGGUGUGGCCUUUGGUAGAUUGAAAUGUUUAAAACAAGUGGUCAAGAUAAAGAGGGUGUUGGUGUUUGCUUUCAUUUCUCUUAUGAGGAACCUCUUCAUGUAGCUGUGAUGCUUGUUCCAAUUAUGUUAAGAAAGUAUGGAUUUCAUUUCAUUCUUUCUGGUGAUCUGUACAAGAAAUGGGAUCAGAGUAAUGGUGCAAUGGAUCCAAAAGAAUUUGUUUCAGUCCACAAAGAGGUUUGGGCAAUUUUAGUAGGAUCUUAUUCAUACAAUUCAACAUACGCAAAGAGGCAGUAUGUUGUCAAAAACAGUUGGGAGAAUUUCUCCGGAACAGACUAAAAGGUUUACAAUAAUCAUAGAAAGGGAGGGUUUGAUCGAGAAAGAUGUGGUAAGGACUUGGCAUCUCAUUGCCUUUCUAUGAGGGUGAUGAUAAUCCAAAUAUAUUGUUUAUUGCCAGGGAAGUGACAACCAAUCUCCCUUCUAUUUCUUUUCAUCCACCAAAACCAGAUGAUGUUGCUACAAGUGGACACCAAAGGUGACAAGGUUAUUGCUGAGGCAUUGAAACAAGCUAUACCCAUCUGUUGGAGGAGUUUUUUGCUACAGUUAAACAGCAUGUUCUUAUUGUCAGGUUUGGGCAUUUUUAAUGGGAUCUUAUUCAUAAGAUUCAACAUACACAGAGAGGUGGUAUGUUAGAGUACAUGACUAUCAAAAACCAUUGGCAGAGUAUAGGUUUACAAAAAUUAGAGAAAGGAAGGGUUUGAUCGAGAAAGAUGUGGUAUGCAAAUGACCAUACAUUUCAAAUUAUUUAAAAAGUUGCUUUUUUAUUUAAGUAUUUUGUUUUUGUUUUUAACGUAAGGACUUGACAGGUCAUUGUUGUUCUAUGAGGGUAACCAUUGAUUCCAUAAUGGAAAUGGGAACAAAUAGCCAUGAAUUUCAUAAUGACGUUACCAAAAACUUCGACCGGUUAUGAUACUAUUUGGGUAGUGGUUGACCGUUUGACCAAGUCCGCGUAGGGAUGAGCAUAGGCGGGUACCCGCCUCAUUUGGCGAGAACCAGAACCAGAUACACUCUAGGUGGUUCUUAAAUUUUUUGAACCAGGAGCGGGUAACCUGGUUACAUUAAUUUUGUUAACUUUUGUCGAUAAAACCGCAACUUAGUUCGAUCAAAAUCGAAUCAAUUCGGACCAAAGAGAGACAGAAUCAGACCAAUAUAUUCUAAAUCGGUCUAAGUAACACACACACACACACACACACACACACAUAUAUAUAUAUAUAUAUAUAUAUAUAUAUAUAUAUAUAUAUAUAUAUAUAGAGAGAGAGAGAGAGAGAGAGAGAGAGGAAGGAAGGAUCAUUUGAGAGCUCAUAUAUUUCCGAGAACCAAACAUGAGCCGCUGGAUGAAAAUAAUAGAUGACCACGAUGAUUUGUGGCAUUGUUGUAAAUAAUUGGAAAAAAAUAGAACGGGGGUAGCUUAUUAAAUUGAAUCAAAGGACAUUUUAGGGAGAAGAUAAUUUGGUUGAUCAUCUGUAUACUCUCCCUUCAUCUCGUUUCUCAUCCCGCUUCGACCAUCUCGCCUUAGACUAUCCAUAUCCAAUAAUCUUCAGAUCGUCGACGACAUUUUCUUGACCAAAGUCGACGAAGAUUGGCCGAUGAUAAUGAAUAUGCUUAAGCAGAAUCGAUGAGUAAUGAUGUUUACUUCCAAAUCAGGAAAAGAGGCAUCCGAGGGAAUCACUUAUGAGCGGAGAUGCAUCGUUGAAAAAUCAAUGAAUGCUCAACGUAAUUUUUUGUUUUUGAGCUACUUUAUUGAAUCGUCAUCAUGGAUCUGUUUGACAGUACCUUUGCUGAUACGUGCCUCCUCCACGUUAAUUCUGCCUCCUUCGAAUCCUCACCUGCUGGUCUUCUGAUGUAUUAUUCGUGCAGUCCCUUCGCAUUUUUCUUGAUCUUGAUUCAGUAUCAAAUUACACUCUUGCUGAUAUCAGUCGGCAAUCUAUGCUAUGAAUGUUUAAAGCACAACAACUCUUUGUUUUUAUAUUUGUAUAAAUUAUACUGUUCUCAUGUUACAGACAUCAGAGAUACGUCCGUAUGUUGUUUGUGCUGUUUUGAGAGGCAUAACUUUCAGUGAGGCAAGAUAUAACAGCUUCAUUGAUCUCCAAGAUAAGCUUCACCAAAAUAUAUGCAGGUAAUAUAUGAAUCUUACAGGUGAAGUUGCUUAGGUUCACUAUGUAGUUUCCAACGUACCUCCUUUAUGCCGCCUAAGAUCUUGUAGUUGAUGAAUUGUUUCGGAAGUUCACAAGGCUGUAACAGCUAAAGUCGAGCCUUUGAUGCUGGUUCAGUGUUCAAUGAUUGAAUUCAAAAGCAAGAAGCCGAGGAUAUUAUUGGUGUUUCUCUUCACUAACCAAAGAUGAUCUGAUCUGAUAUACUUAAAUAAUACAUAUAAAUUAAAAUAUCACGUCUUCAUUUGGUUUCUAUACAUCAAAAAACAGUAUUCACAACUUAUAAAUCAUGAGCCAAAACACCUAAAUCAACUAACAAUUAAAAUUCUCAGUUUUGGACCCAAAACAGCCACUGUUUAAAGCUGUUUUAGCACACUUGAAAUCUAUAUAACUUCCGUUUUUAUUUCAUAUUCCAGAAGUUCAGACUUUUAUCUUUUCAUAAUGUACUUUUGAAGGUCCAAACGAUUUUUCUACAAUUUUAUAUGAUUUUUACAAAAUUGUCUACCAAUGCAGCUAAAUUUUGACCAGCCGGUGAAAACAACAGGUUAUGGAAAAAUUAAUGGAUAAACUAGAUUCAAAAUGGAAACUUUGAGAGUUUACGGAUCAUUAAUUCGAUUCCUAGUGAUUUUUCUAUAAUUUUUCCAAUAAAGUGACAUUUGUAAUUUUUGCUGAAUUUUCAAGCUUUGGAUUUCAAAGGCUUUUUGACCACUUAACACAUUAAGACAUCACUAAGAACACCCAUAAGGGUAAAAAUUAGCGUCUUAACAGAAGUGGCAUGUCAAACAAUAAAAAUAUCAUCCCACUCACAACCCACUCAUCAAGGUACAAAAUAUUUGGUGGAAAACAAAGUAGGUUGCACAAAUAGGAACUUGGAUUUCUUCCACCACCAAUUCUCAUAGGACUUUGAAAGCUUGUUUUGAGGCUUAUUGGGUGACUCAAAACAUGAUUAAUCUAAACAAACAACAGAAAAAAUCAUGAGCACUCUUGUAAUUAUUUCUUUCUUUCUCUGUCUCUAUUGUUGGUUUGUAAGUAUGCAGAAAGCAAUUUUUCUGACUCCUUGGACAUGCUUAAGGAUAAAAGUUUAAAAAUAGAAUAUGGUUUUGACUUGCCAUCAUGGUCAGGUGAUGAAUGUGGUGUCAGGGUUCUUAUGAAUGUUGAUAGCUUUGGUGUUGUUGGAGAUGGAGUUUCUAAUGACACAAAGGCCUUUGGAGAUGCAUAGAAGGAAGCAUGUUUUAUAGAUUGCAUUCACGGAAAGCAGUGCAAUAUAAUGAUAUACGCAUGAGAACUCAACUAUAAAAAUGGAAGAACAAGGAUCUCCAUGUGGAUAUGAUUCAAAGUGUCAUCCAACAACUCUUCUAUCAGAUCAAUCAUAAUUGAUAAUGGUUCAUGUUCGAAUUUUCUUGAA
Non-coding RNA from Lactuca sativa (garden lettuce), 4053 nucleotides. The record is from RefSeq and is a predicted model, not a curated record. NCBI's taxonomy places the organism in Eukaryota, Viridiplantae, Streptophyta, Magnoliopsida, Asterales, Asteraceae.